RNAcentral lists this microRNA precursor (77 nucleotides) under Ovis aries (sheep). RNAcentral's name for it is "miRNA (ENSOARG00000024351.1, ENSOARG00020061043.1)". Lineage: Eukaryota; Metazoa; Chordata; Mammalia; Artiodactyla; Bovidae. The record is from RNAcentral.
GUGGGGGAGGAGCAGAGGGUGGCCUGGUAUCUGGCCUUAGUAUUUGACAGUCAGUACACCUCUGCCUCUGUGCCCAC